Coccinella septempunctata (seven-spotted ladybird) is the source of this 1466-nucleotide long non-coding RNA. RefSeq lists it as uncharacterized. NCBI's taxonomy places the organism in Eukaryota, Metazoa, Arthropoda, Insecta, Coleoptera, Coccinellidae. The transcript is spliced from 3 exons. The record is from RefSeq and is a predicted model, not a curated record.
CCGAAAUAUCGUUAAAUAUUGCAAACGUGAGAGCGCACUCGUGGAAAGAAUGGAUUAAAACGAUGUGAAUAAUAUGAAAUACUCAGUGAUUUUAUUAUUGUGUUAAAGAGGUUAUUGUACCGCAAGUCGAGCAUGAACUGCAACCGCCAUUCUAACUGGCAUAUCGGUCUAUAUUUUGUCUGUUUUCCAGACAGAAGUAAAUAACAACAAUGUGUUGUGUUAUUAAAUCGUUUCGAAUCGAUUCUUCGAUACUGAGGCAACAAUUUUUCUGUUUGGAGGAAACUGCUUGUGACGACAGAUACAGUUAGUCAUUAGGAAAGUCGGAUUUUAGGCACACAACUCACUGCAGCCUGUAAAAAUUAUUGUACUAUCCUGUAUUCUUAUGUAAGAAGGUUGAAUAUAGAUCUUAUAGCCCUGUCACUUCAUAACUCUCGAAGUUUGAAAGGGAUAGCCCUUCGAUCUCAGCUAUCAUGCUGUCAAUCCCACAUUCAACCUUAGAACAUAGAUACAUCUAUGUUCUAAGCAUUCGACAGACUCUUCAUGUCAUGUCAUUUUCUGUGUGAACUGAUUUUUACUAGGAAUAAAUUUUUACUUGAAACUGUGAAAUUGAUGAAGAAAUGGGUAAAAGAAUCAGUUGGAUAAGUGGAUAAACAUUUAGAUUUCUCAUAUUUGAAGGUAACUUCUGAAUCAGUCUCCAAAUUUCUGAAAUUCCGCAACUUUUGUGGAUCAGUAUAUAUGAAUAUUGUUACCCUGAGGCUUCAAGUGACACAAUAUCAUCCAGAGGCUCCAAAUUGUCUACAGACACAGACAUGCAUCUUGUACAAGCCGUGGAUACGUGGCUAGACAAAAUACAUAUUCAUCAAUCAUCUUCAGGGCAAGAAAGGAAGUGGAGGAGACAAAUCUGGGACGUUGGAAAAACCGGAAGUGAUGUAGCCGGAUGUACGGUACCUGGACGGAGGAGUGCAUGCGAGAAUUGAGGUCGCAAUAUGAAUAUUAUUCAACAAAAGAGAGACUGCACAAAAUAGUGAGAAGACAAAGCUGGAAAACUGAUCGAAGACAAGAUAAAUUCAAUCUUCAACCCUUCAGAUACUAGUCUGUUAAAUGUAUUGACUUAAAAAUCGUCCAUGACUAAGAUCAAACUGAAUUGAUAAGAAGAUUCUGAUCGUUUUCUCCUGAUCAACAGUAGUCAUGAUCAGGUAUUUCCUCGAAAAGUACAACGUGAUUUUUAGCACGAAGUACUGAAUAAACAUUCUUAAUCAUUCUUACGACAUUAAUUCAACUUCUCAUUAUAGUAGGCUGCAACACUUUAAAGAAUUUCAACCGUGAACUUUCCAGCUAUGGUGGAAUUUCGAAAUGUUUCAACGCAGUCUUUGUUUAUUUUUGCUCUAUUGGGAUAGUCCAGGGCGUCCUUCGUUCAACAUUUUCUAUUUAAACAGAGUUAUCAAGUCUUCCUCAUCGAAAUUGAA